UCCGUCCGGGAAAGACAUUUUUUAUGAUCACGGUGGUACUACGGUACCUUUUACUCGGAUUUAUCGGAAACACGAUCCCCAUGCACGGAGAUAUCUCAGAUAGAACUAUACACGGUACUCUAUAUCGCGAUCUGGAUCUAUACACGGAAAACUAAAUCCAACCCUAGCCGGACUCAAACCUAAUAACAUCGGAACAUAUUCCACUGGCACUGAUACCGUACAUCUGGGAUGAAACUGUUAAGAUGGUUAUAGGCCUAGCCCUAGGCCUAGGUACUCUUCGCUUCGGCAUAGUCCUUUAAUUCGGACAGAUCUACGGAACCAAUUUAUUAUACCUCGGCCUCGGAGACAUCUGACAAGUGAAUUCACUAAAACUCAAUUUUAGUCGCAAGUAGGCCAGCUACACUGCACUGCAGAUCGAUAAGCUAAGUUCGACCACAUUACGAUACUGGCUCCUCAAUUUCGACGGUCGACUCUAAAGUAUAAUUAUCGCGGCAGACAUCAAAACUUGACUGGUUCGAUGAAAUAAUCAAUGCUCAAGAUGGGAGAACAUAAAGGAUCAACCAGCAGAGGAGGCAGGGGGAAAGGAGCCAAAGGUUGAAGGAGACGCCCACGUCCACGCAGUCUAUGCGGUCAGAGUGCCAUACGGAGCAACGAGGGCCACAACGGAGAGCCCGGCAAGCCAGCAGCCGACCAGACCGGGGGUGAUCGAGCCUUCGCUACGUGAUGGACCAGAGAUAGAGCUCUCAACAGACAACAAGCAACCACCUCCCACCCACGUUAACCCACGACGAGCCACCAGUCAUCCGGGCUCGAAGAAUCUGGCUGUUUGGCGACAGCUUACAAGGAGGGCUCGGGAGAGGGCCGUCACCACGGGGAACCACAACCUUGGGGGCUGAUUAAAGGCUACGAGGUGUACUAGUUGGUGGAGCCGUGGGGGGUACUACGCUUCCCAACUGCCCGAGUGACCUCCAAGGGGGACUGAGAUACAGCCCCAUACCAACCUUAAUAAUCAUUCACGUGGGAUCCAAUGGAUUCAAUGAUUGGGCAGCUAUAUAGUGCCAAAGAAAGUAGACAAGCUGGAGACAACUCACUGAAUUCAACCAGAGCUCUACGGCCUUGGUGCCACAUAUGUUUCUCAAGCAUCUUGCCACGCCUUACUAUUAUGCACAGGAAAGAACUAUCACCUCACAGGCAGCUAGUGACAAUGUCAGAAAAUCUGUGAACAAGUAUAUAUGCCAAGAGAAGGAUUCGGUGCAUGCACAAUGCGUCAUUUAUCAACCACAUCUUACACUAUCAUGAACACCGGUACUACAACAGAGGUGGCAUCCAACGGUCAGACGAAGGAAGUGACAUCCUGAUUAGUGAUUUCAAUAGGGCGGGUCAAUUCGCCCUCACCGGACAAGACUUGAAUGAAUAAGAGAGCUCUUGAGUCCCAGGAUUGGCGAAUGCGACUCCUUUAAUUGAUCUGGGAAUAGCGAAGGAAAGACACUGGACGUGCAGGGAAGUGUUGUUUAAUUACACAACCCAUGGCAUUCAUACUAUUAUAAUGUUUUCUCAUGCUUAUAUUAGUUCAUUAUCCUUUUAACCAAACGUUACCUUCGGCUCAUACCGAAGAGAAAUACAAGAGAAACAUUAUACGAAUGAGUAACACCGAAAAUAAAUUAAAUAGAUCAAUAGCACGAAUUGCUCAAAGGUUAGCAACUGGCAUUAAGCCAAGCUGAUAGUUUUGAAUUUGGUUUGGUUAUACCUUACAAUGCAAUCACAUCUGUCAUAUUGGCGUGGGUGGACACUCGCACCUGAUUGGACAUGGGUAAUAGUGAAAAUAAACUUGGGAGUUAAUUAAUGAACAGAGAACCUCUUUCUGCCAAAUGGCAAGAUAUACAGAAACACAGAAACAGUGCCUAUCCAAUGUUUCUUUUCUUGGUACGAAAGUUGUUCUGGUCAGUGCUUAAUGGUAACUAGUUUGGUGCAACUGAACAA
This 1980-nucleotide long non-coding RNA is filed under the name Lytechinus variegatus (green sea urchin). Its description in RNAcentral is "uncharacterized LOC121410077". The record is from RNAcentral. Lineage: Eukaryota; Metazoa; Echinodermata; Echinoidea; Temnopleuroida; Toxopneustidae.